RNAcentral lists this ribosomal RNA (558 nucleotides) under uncultured bacterium. RNAcentral describes it as "bacterial SSU rRNA". It matches the Rfam family "Bacterial small subunit ribosomal RNA", at positions 102 to 694 of the family's 1533-position model. The record is from RNAcentral.
ACGGGUGAGUAACGCGUGGGAAUCUACCCAUCUCUACGGAAUAACGCAUGGAAACGUGUGCUAAUACCGUAUACGUCCUUCGGGAGAAAGAUUUAUCGGAGAUGGAUGAGCCCGCGUUGGAUUAGCUAGUUGGUGGGGUAAAGGCCUACCAAGGCGACGAUCCAUAGCUGGUCUGAGAGGAUGAUCAGCCACACUGGGACUGAGACACGGCCCAGACUCCUACGGGAGGCAGCAGUGGGGAAUAUUGGACAAUGGGCGCAAGCCUGAUCCAGCCAUGCCGCGUGAGUGAUGAAGGCCCUAGGGUUGUAAAGCUCUUUCACCGGUGAAGAUAAUGACGGUAACCGGAGAAGAAGCCCCGGCUAACUUCGUGCCAGCAGCCGCGGUAAUACGAAGGGGGGCUAGCGUUGUUCGGAUUUACUGGGCGUAAAGCGCACGUAGGCGGACUAUUAAGUCAGGGGUGAAAUCCCGGGGCUCAACCCCGGAACUGCCUUUGAUACUGGUAGUCUUGAGUUCGAGAGAGGUGAGUGGAAUUCCGAGUGUAGAGGUGAAAUUCGUAGA